UUUCACGUUUCUGUGUUGAUUACUAAUCACCUUAGAUGUUGUUACUAGUGGAUGUAUGGUAGAUGGAUUGAAGCUUUUCUGAUAAUUAUUACACCUUUUACCUUUUUGUGAAAUGGCUAUACGUGGCAUACAUGUAUUUUAGAAAAAUAUUAGGUAUAGAGUUUUGUUUUUUUUUUUUUACACUUUAAGCAUGUGGUGUUGAAGUAUUAC
Molecule: long non-coding RNA, 210 nt
Filed under: Bos taurus (domestic cattle)
Lineage: Eukaryota; Metazoa; Chordata; Mammalia; Artiodactyla; Bovidae
Description: long non-coding RNA NONBTAT021823
Source: RNAcentral